RNAcentral lists this long non-coding RNA (266 nucleotides) under Elaeis guineensis (African oil palm). RNAcentral's name for it is "long non-coding RNA (EGUI_LNC042907)". The record is from RNAcentral. Lineage: Eukaryota; Viridiplantae; Streptophyta; Magnoliopsida; Arecales; Arecaceae.
GGGAUGAACAGUUUUUGAUCUAUGAUUUAUAGAGCAUAUGAAAGAUUGAAGUUAAAUGCUAAUUAAUUUUAGAUUAGAUUUAAACUAAUUAGACUUAAUUGGAUCCAAAAUUUUAAGUUAGGCUUGGUAUAAAAGUCCUAAAGAGUUUGAGAUUGGUAGUCUUUCCAAAUUAUUUCAAACCAGCUUUGAAUUGGAUUCGAAUUGGAUCCAUUUUGGAUGAGAUAUGAAAAAUUCUUCUUGCACUGAGAUUUUUCUCUCAUAUGGGC